RNAcentral lists this long non-coding RNA (433 nucleotides) under Malus domestica (apple). Its description in RNAcentral is "long non-coding RNA (MDOM_LNC011664)". The record is from RNAcentral. Lineage: Eukaryota; Viridiplantae; Streptophyta; Magnoliopsida; Rosales; Rosaceae.
AAAUUAAACACGCAGUUUGGCUACAUAUCAAAGAAAGAAUACUGAGGUGCAAGUUGCAUCAGACAUAGCAGUUGCAACAUGCCAACAUAUAUAUUCAAACUAAACAGAAACAGUUUCAGACAGGUUACAACAACAUCAUGACCCAGAAGCCUGGAACAUCAUGAGCUGAUGAUGUUCACCAACGACCACCGCCGCCGCCUCCAGGCCCACCACCACCGCCGCCGCCAGGUCCACCACCACCACCGCCGCCACGUCCACCGCCGCCCCAUCCCCCACCGCCACCAGGUCCGCCCCCAGGUCCACCGCCGCCCCAUCCACCGCCGCCACCAGGUCCACCACCGCCACCAGGUCCACCACCGCCACCAGGUCCUCCGCCGAACAUUGGCCCACAGCAGCCCUCAAGCAGGCAGCAGCAGCACAGGAAAUAAGCACU